This 253-nucleotide ribosomal RNA is filed under the name uncultured bacterium. RNAcentral's name for it is "partial 16S ribosomal RNA". It matches the Rfam family "Bacterial small subunit ribosomal RNA", at positions 524 to 776 of the family's 1533-position model. The record is from RNAcentral.
UACGUAGGGGGCAAGCGUUGUCCGGAUUUACUGGGCGUAAAGAGCGUGUAGGCGGCCUUCUAAGUCGAACGUGAAAUCCCCGGGCUCAACCCGGGAACUGCGUCCGAUACUGGAAGGCUUGAAUCCGGGAGAGGGAUGCGGAAUUCCAGGUGUAGCGGUGAAAUGCGUAGAUAUCAGGAAGAACACCCGUGGCGAAAGCGGCUCUCUGGAACGGUACUGACGCUGAGACGCGAAAGCGUGGGGAGCAAACAGG